AUCACCCUCUCUACUUAUGUAUCAAAAUGUUUAUAUGUAGUAGCCUACCUAUAAGUUUUCUUUAUAUCUGUUCACGGAAAAGAACACAUUAGGUCUCGAGCUUACUACGUAGACUAGGCUAGUCAAACUCAAAUAUAGGGCUCCUUCUGCCUACCACUCAGAUGCUAGCCUGUGCUUUUAGUUUAUUUAUUUUAAUUAGUUAAGUGAGUUGACUAAUUAGAAAAUGAAGUCUUGUGCAGUAACUCAGGCUGGCCUCAGGUGAGAAUAACCUUGAACUUCCUGAGCCUCCUGCUUCCCGAUUUAGAGUAUUGGGAUUAUAGGUAUGUACCAUUACUCCCUCUUAGUUUUUAUUUACUUUUUUACUUUCUUGAAUAGUGUCUUACCUAUAGCCUCAGGUGGCCAUAAAGCCAUGGUAGUCUUCCUGCCUCAGCCUCUAAAGUGCUUCACAGACAUAUAUCACCAUAUUAAUCUAAGAUAAAUUCUUAAGAGAGUAUAUUUGACAGCAGAUGGUAAAAGAAUCUUAAAAUGUGAAUUUAUUACCAAUACUAACUUUAGCUCACUUCAUUUAAAAGUAUUUAGUAAUUUGAUUAGUCCCAAAAGAUUUGUAUAGCCCAUACUUACAAAUUUCUCUCUCUCUCUCUCUCUUUUUUUUUUUUUUUUGUAGAUUUACUUCUUGAGACAUGCAAUUUUUUUUUAAACUAUAAGUGGCCAAACAUCUGGCUAAUCUUUAUGCCUCUGAUACCUGUCCAGAGUCUCACACAAACUUGUGUUGUAAGUGGUUGAUUAAGGUAGGAAAGGACUGAUAAGAGGCAAGAUGAGUAGAAGUUUGACCCAAGAAUUCUCCACCAUGAUUCCAUUUUUUAAGCCAAGCCCAGUGUAGAGAGCUUGCAUAAUCCGUGAAAUCUUGCACAGCGUGUGUGGAUCCCCAGUGCAGCAGAAGCUGAGUGUAGUGGUGUAGUCCCGAGAGGUAGAGGUAAGGGGAUCAGAAGCUAAAGGGUGCCCUCAGCUACAUAGAAUUCAAGGCUGGCCUAUAUGAGACUCUUAAUUCCAAAAGGGAAGAAGCACAAGUUACAGAUCACAUUUAACCAAGAGAUCUUCUGAAGAUGUUGGGUAGAACUUUGCAGAACCUGUCAUUUUAUCAUUCAGAGUUGACUGUAUUCUGGAGGAUUAAUUAUCCUUAAUCAGACUAUGGAAAUUAAGAACAAAGACCCACAGGAUAUGUGACCCAAGGCAAAAUGGUCAUUUUAUUAGCUUUCUUUCUAAUUAAAUGAGGGUAAUCAUAAUACCUAAUUCAGGGUUCUUUAAAGAGAUUAACUGAUCAUUUCAAAAUCCUAAUACUAAAGGAAUAUUCAAACAAAUAGCAUAGGGAAAAACUAGUAGAAAAAUAAAAUUAAGUCUAGCAUUGGACCUUGUACAUUGAACUUCUACUUAAUUUUUUACUUUUUAUUUUUACUUUUAUAUUUAUUAUUGCUAGUUUGUAGCACCUUUACUAAUAUUCAUAUAUGCAUAGAUAUUAAGGCUGUUAUUUAUAGCAUCCCAUUUUAAUCUGAGUACUGUGGAAACCUGAUCAAUCAUCAGAAGGCCUCUUUUUGAAUAUGUGAUUGAACAGAAAGAAGGAAAAAGAAAGAAGGAAUGAAAAUAACCCAGAGGGGAUAAUUUAAAAAAAUUUGGGGUUGUAAAACUUGGAAAAACCACUUGUCUAGAAUUCAAAUUAUUCAUCUCUCUAGCUAUAUCCAUGAACUUCUGGUUUUCCUUUGGCUACUUGCCUCUCUUUUCAUAUAUAAAACCUAUAUAUAUCAUAUGGAUGCUGAUAGAUUACAUUUUAAGCUCUGAAGAUGGGUGUGGUAGCUGACUCAUGACUGUAAUAGCAGCAGCAAUUGGGAUGUGGUGGUGGUGGUGGGCCUGAAACAGAAGAAUUGUGUGUUUAAGUCCAGCCUAUGAGAGCCUGCCUAAAAAUAAUUUUAAACAAUGUUGUCAUUUAUCACAAGUUCCAAUAUUUCAUAUGAAGUAACUAAUUUUUCUUCCUUAUUAAAUACCUAUUCCUAGAGAAUAUGUUGUUGUUUUAAUGUAAUUCAACUCAUUUAAACAUAAACUAACCGUGUAUAUUUAUUUUACUUAACAUUCAAAGCACCUUUCUGAAGUAAGUUUCACCAGUAUAAUUUCAUAACAUACUGAGGCUAAAGAGGAAUUAAAUGAGUUGCCUGUCUUUGUGCGGUUAACAAACACAGCAGUCAGAAGCUGGUCUCAUACCAUGAUCACCUUUGCACAACAUCAGAAUAGCCGGAUGAGAAAGCAUUUACAAACCUGGCAAUGAGUCAGCUCCUUCAGAGUAGACUAUUCCUGCAAACGCUUUCUAGUCUGCGGCGGAUUUUAGUGGACUCAACUUCAGAAUAUCCUGUGCUAAUCUUGUAACUCUCCAUAUCUGAGAAAAUGGAAGAAAAUUCGAGAUUAGGAAACUCUUGAAAAAAAGGAAAGUUUGAAUUUGUUGGGAUUAAAGGCAUGCAGCACCACUGCCCAUCUGAACUUCAGAAUUGCUGAAACCUUUAAGAUACAGAAUUGCAUUAUAAGCCCCAAUCAUUAUGGAAAUUUAAAAAUUUUUCCUCUUUGACUGAUCAUAUUCAUCAUUAAAGCAAGUUGCGGCAUGUGAGUGACCUAGUCUAUAAUUUAGACUAACAAUUGAUUCGUGAAUUAUAUACAUCUCUUUUGAAUUUCAUUGUAUCUGGUUUCUAGAACAUCUUUGUGCUUUCCCCUGCAUGAAUGGCUUCCCACCAUGUUUUUUCCUAGAUGAAAAGGGGAACUGUGAAGUCAACCCUCUUGUCUGUAGUGUUCGUACAUAGAGAAGGAAAACCUGCUGUCUAGCUUCAGCCUUUCUCAGUCCAAGAAGUGAACCUCAUCUAAUCUUUAACACAUGUGGGUUUUUUGUGGUAUGUGCUUAAAUAUUUCUGUUUGCUUUAAGCAUUGUUUCCUUAAGGGAUUUAUGGAUGAGCUGUUGUAUUUAUAUCGGAUACUCUUCUUCAGUCAACUGACAACAGUGUACAAAGUGAGGCAGACUUGAUACUGUUAUUCAUUUCCUGGGGCAUGUGGUAGAGAAAGUUUGUAUCAGAUCUCCACAUGUAUAGACACAUGCAUGUGUGCGCAUGCACACACACACACAAAUAAAUAUAAUUUUAGAAAAGAACAAGUUGUGAGCUGGGUAUGGUGGCUCAUGUUUGUGGUCCUAGCCCUCAGGAGACUGAGGAUUGCUGUGAGUUCUAGGAUAGACUUUAUAACAUCCUGUCUUAAGCAAACAUACAAACAAAUAAAACAAAACCAAUUUUUUGUAGUUUUCUCAUAUAAGAUGCAGUUGAAACACUGGUUUCCAGUUAAGUUAAGCUCUUCAAAUACUUACUACCAUUAACAGGGGAUAUUGUAGUAUUUGUACUUCUGUUGUUUCUAUUUUGGGCAUUUGUGGUUGUUUGUUUGUUAUAGGACUUAAUUGUUCAUAUUCUGAGCUUCACAGAAGAGUAUCUUUUCACUCUCUCACUGUCUUAGGUAGGGCUCUGUUGCUAUGAGGAGACACCAUGGCCAUGCAGAUCUUAUAAAGGAAACAUAGGAAGCAUUUUACUGGGGCUGGUUUAUGGUUUCAGAGGUUCAGUCCAUUGUCAUGGUGGGAAACAUGGCGGAGUGGUGCUGGAGAAGGAGUGAGAGUUCUACAUCUUGAUCCACAGGCAGCAGAAGGAGAUUGGCAUAGCUUGUCAUAGGAGACUUCAGAACCCAACCCUAUAGUGACACACUUCAUCUAACAAAGCCACACCUCCUAAUAGUGCCACUCCCUAUGGGCCAAGCAUUUAAAUACAUGAGACUGUGGGGGCCAUACCUAUUCAAACCACCACAUCCACUGUUCUGUUAUUUCUGUUUGCUCCUCCUGUCCCUGGGAAACCAGCUUCUUUAAUUUCUGCUUUAGAUUUCUUGUAUUUGUUUUGUACAAAUGAAUUGAUAAAUGAACAUCUCUACCGAGGGUACUGAGGUAGCACACUGCUCCUGUUUACUUUAUCCUUUUACCAUUCUUCUCUUCUUUCCAUCGCAUGGCUAUGUUAUUACUUCACUGUGCCUCAAAAGACAGAAUAAGGGACUGAACUCACAUGUCCCAGGCUUGCCAUAGACUUGCUGUGAAGCUGAGGAGGUCUUUGAACUUCUGAUCUCCCUGCCUCUAGUAUACAAGUGCUAGGAUUACAGGCGUGCAUCACCAUGUUCAGUGUUAUGUGGGAUUCAAACCCAGGACUUUGUGCAGGCCAGGCAAGCAUCAACUACGUUAUAUCCACAGCCCCCAGAUUAGUAAUUCUAGUGUAGUUAGAUUCCGGAGUGCUAUUCCUUAUGUUAUGAUUACUAUCUAGUUACGUAGCCAGUUCUUCAGUACUGUUUAAUUAUAGGGAUUAACCCUUUCUCACUGCUCUGCACUGUCACUUGUGUAUAAAAGCAGUAUAUGUAUAUUGCUCUGUCGGUUUUUCUACUAGAUUCCAGUGAUCUUGAUGGUUUUACCUAUUUUAAACUUGUUUCUUUAAUGAAUGGUGGUAAUUUUAUAAAUUGGAGCUUCUUUUAUCUUUUUAGGUUUCUUUCCCUAGAUUUAAAGCGAGUUUUUUUAAACUAUUUUUCCUUGAGUUAGUUUUGGUUUUGAUUUCAAACUGCUUCUUACUGGUAUAGAGAUACAGUUUGAACUAGUACCUGUGAGUUUUUCUUUCUGUUGACUGUUUCAUGACAUAAUUACUUGAUUUCUCUGUAUCAAGUUACAGUUAUUUUAUUUUCAGACAUUCUCAUAUAUCCUAGGUUAGUCUGGACUUGAUAUGUAGGUGAAGAUGUUCUUGACCUCCUGAAACUCUAGCCUCUCCUUCCAAGUGAUGGGAUUAUAUACAUGUGCUACUACAUUUGGUUUAUGUGGGGUUGGGGACCAAACCCAGUAUUUUAUGUGUUGUAAGGCAACAGUCUACCACCUGAGCUAUAUCCUGGGCCCCUCAAUUAUAAAGUUAAGUUCUUUUUAAGACUGAAUAAUUCUUCACCUCAGGUAUCACUAUAUCUCUUUUUCUACUGAAAAAAUCUUGGCUGCAUGAAAUUUUAGCAACUUGGAAUAAAGCUACUAUAAAAUCCCUUUUGCACUGCUAAAACCAUUUUGCAUGGUGGGGUAUAUACAAUUUUUAGCACUGGGGGAGGCUAAGAGGAGGAUCUCAAGCAUGGUGGCAGUCUUUGCCCUGUCUCAGUAAAAACAAGCAAAUGCAAAUCCCCAUUACGGUGUUUGCAGAGUCAUGUUUAUGUUCUGCUAAACACCAGGGAGUAGGACUGCUGGAUUUUGUGGUAAUAUAAGUGUUUGCUUCAAGUGUCAUGGCCCACACCUUCAAUGCUAGCCUUGGGAAAGCAGGUAACUCUGUGAGUUGAGGCCAUUCAGAGCUACAUGGUGAGCCCCGGUGCCUUUAAAAAAAGUUCUUGACUGUGUAAGGAAACUAUAGUUCCUGUAGUAGCUCUGCUGGGUUUUGUCCAUAUCAGAUCAGUAUGCAUUCCUGUCUCAUGCGCACCAGCACUUCUCAGCAUCAGCAUCAGUUUCGGCCAGUCGCUGAAUAGUCUUAUCAGUUUAUUUUUGUAUUUUCUUAGAAUAAGGACAUUAGAAUUGCAAAACUUGUUGGUAUAAAACUAAUCAUAAAAAGUAUAUUUAGUCUUUGUUCUGUUUAAAAUUUUAAUUUUUAGAAAGAUUGUCUGUCUGUCUGUGUAAGUACACAUCACAUGUGUUCAGGUAUCUCUGGGAACCAGAAGAGAGGGCACUGGAGCUGCCUGGUGUGGGAGCGGGGGCUCAAACCAGGUCCCACCGGAAGAGCAGGAAGUACUUUAACUCUUGAGCCGCCUUCCCAGCCCCACCCACCCCUCUUUUAAAAGAUUCUGUUCUGAUUAUUUGUGCUUUAUCUUUUCUCUUAAUUGUCUUAUUAGAAAUCAAUUUAUUAUUUAUUGUAAGGUAAAUAGUUAAGUGUUUGGCCACCUGUAGUAUGCUUCUUGCUACAUAGGUUUCAGUUCACCUGUGAGACUUAGAGGUGGGAAUAUUUUGCAAAUAUUCAUGAUUCUCUGUGUUGGCUAGACAUUGUCUCAGUGGAUAAAAUGCUUUCUGUGUGAGGAUCUGGGCUGGGAUUUCCAGAACCCACGUAAAGCUGGAUGAGAUGGUGUGCCUGUGAUCUUAGGGCCUCUGUCAGGUUGGAGGGCAGAGACAGGGGAGUCUCUUAAACUCAACACACAAAGAUCCUGUCUUAAACAAGUGAAGUGAAGGGCCCACCUCAGACUGUCCUCCGACCUCUACAAAGAUGCCUUUACACAAAUGCGACCCCAAGUAAACAUAUCACGUCCACACAGGCACACACAGCGGUGGAAGCAUGCUCAUUUCAGAGUGCUCUGUGGGAAGUUGAAGUGAGAUCUGCGUGUAAGUGUGCUGCGUGCAUUAGUGUUUUACUCUGUGUAUGCAUGUGCACUAUAUGCAUGCCUGAUGCUUGCAGGGGCCAGAGGAGAGCAUCAGAUUCCUUGGGACUGGAGUUACAGAAGAUUAUGAGCUGCCAUAUGGGUCCUGGGAAUUGAGCCUGCGUCUUCUGGAAGAGUAGAUGGACUCUUAACUACUUAGCCAUCUCUUCACUUCCUGCAGUCAAUUUAGAAUUAUUAGGUUCUUGUUUUUAUUUCUUGAGAUUUCUUGUCCCCACUGGAUCUUUCUACCUCAGCCUCCAAAAUUGUGGGAUUAUUUUAUUUUAAAUUGUUAAUUUAAGGUAAUUGUAGGCUUUAUUGUUUUUGAAGGGAUGCUUUUGUAUCUAUGUGAUUAUGAAUCAGUAUAUGUCUGAUGUCAGCAUACAGUGAAUGAAACUCAUUUAGUGCUUGUUCUGUUACCCAACAGGACUUGCUCACUUUUAAUUGAGAAGUGUUUAUGGGAACAAUGCUGGGACUUUUCUAGUAAUAGACAAUUGUUACUAUUUGUGUUUGGAAAGUCAAAAGAAAAAUGAACACUGGUUUUACGUAUUUUUAGUUCUUUGAAAACCACAGUAGAAAUUCCCUCAUCUCACACUGUUUCUGUGUAGCUGUUUUCUAGAGUCCUGCUCAUUAGCUAUACUACCAGGCAUUUAGUUAGGAACCAGUACUUUAAGGGCUGUUAGUGGUUUAUAAGGAUCAUGGUGAUGUUCACUUAACAUAAGGGCAGAACAACUUUGCGGUUUUAAAUGAGCCAGAAUUUCUGUCUUAAAGUAUAUGUCUUCAGUGCUGAAUUAGUGCCUUCCUGUGGAGAUUGGAAACGUGAUUGCUGUAUUGAAGCACAUUCACUCUGUCAUGGCAAAUGGUGCUUAUUACUUGGCAAUAAUUUUGUGUACAAUUUAGCAAAACAAUCUUUUAAAAGAGGAAAAAAAUAAAGAAGUAUUUCACUUUAAAAAUAGAAAGUUAUAUUCCCCAAGUACUAUCUUAUAUCUUCCUCUUACUUUAAAUUAUUAUAGAAACUAUACAGACGAAGCCAGUCAUGGUGUCAUGUGUCUUAAUAUCAGCACUCAGGAAGCAGAGGUAGGUGCAUCUCUAAGGUUUCAGCCAAAGCUGUACACUGAGGCCUUGUCUUCAGCAACGGCAGCAAAACCCUGUUCCACUGAAGAUAGUGAGGAAUGUGAUAAGGAGUAAUAGAUGCUCUUGCAAGUUAGAGAGAAAGGCUAACUGCUAACAUGUAAGAAAAUGCUGAGGAAAUUUAGUUUUUAGAUAGCAAAUUAAAGGAAUAGAGGUGCACACUAACUAGUAUAUUGGCAAACUUCCUGAGAUGCAUGUGCAUGGUAAUUAGAAGCAUAUUGACUUUUAAAUGUCAGCCAGCUUUUAUUCUCUUCCUCCUAGUGUCUGUUUGUAUGAACAGUGAUUAUUUUUACUUUUCAAGGGGGUUAUCAAGUUUUCUGUGAACAUUUGUUAAUUACUACUACUAUAUAUAGCUGCUACCAGCAAUGGUUCAGGGUUUUCUUGGUUGAAUUUCUUAGUUGUUAAAGCAUUGUUAAGACUUUCUCAUUUCAUUAUUGAGGUUUGGGGGCAUAGCCUAUGAAUCCAGUAAACUGAUGCUCUUAGUUGUGUCCCUUAUAGUAUAUUAUUGACAUAUUAUCAGUUACAUUCUAAGAGGAAAAGAGAACUGGGCUAAAUUAGUUUACUUGAGACUUGUGUAUGCCUGCUAUUAGUAUAUUCUGUUAGUGUGUUUUAUUGGCUAUAGGGGCUAUAGGAGCAGACAGCGUUUAAAGGAGACUGAACCUCUGCCCUGUUUCACAUUUUAGGAUGCUUACUUUCUUAAUCUCACUAGGGAGUCCAAUGGAGAAAAAGCACACAUCUCCCUCCAGUGAACAACUAAAGACUACACAAGCAUCAAAAAUAUUCUAGUUUCAGAAAAGGAAAAAUAUUAUAUAGAAGAAUGAGAGAUAUGUAUUUUGAUGUGGACUACGAAUAUAACUGUAUACAGAGGACUUGUCUUUAUGUAUGAGGCUCUAAGGUCAAGUCCCAGCACCACAAACAAGACCCACUUGGAUUUUUGGAGCAAUUAAGAAUGAGAAACCACUGAUUGCAAUUAAGAAUAGGACCAUAAUCCCAGCACUUGGGAGGCUUAGGUAGGCCACCAUGAAUUAGAAGCCCUCUUGGGCUGCAAGUAAGUCUGUCUUAAGAAGGGAAAACAAGAGGCUACUGAGAUAGUUCAGGGGUAAAUAACCCCAGGUGCUUUUCUAGAAAGACUUGGGUUUGAUUUUCAGCACCUAUGUGGGAACUUAAAACUAUCUUUUUUAAAAAAAUUUUUUCCUUUCAUAUAAUACAUCCCAACUGCAGUCUCCCUUCCCCCAGCCUUCCCCUCUCUUUCCCAUGUCUGUUCCCCCCACUUUGCCUUUCCUCAGAAAAGAGCAGGCUUCUCAGGGACAUCAAACACAAGCGUCAAUAAGACCAGCCAUAUACCAUUAUAUCAAGGCUGGACGAGACUACCCAGUUGGAGAAACAGGUUCCCACCAGCAGGCAAAGGCAUCAGAGACAGCCCCUGUCCCCACUAUUAGGGACCCCACAAGAACAUGCAGCUAGCUAUUUAGCCACAACAUGUGUCAGAGGACCAGGUCAGAUCUCUGCAAGCCCCCGUGAGUCCUGUCAGUUGAUUUUGCAGGCCAUGUUCUAGGAGUGUCCCUAACCUUUCUGGUUCUUCAGAUCCUUCCUCCACCUCCCCUACAGGACUCCGGGAGCUCUGCCUAAUGUUUGGCCAUGGGACUGGCUCUCAUCUGCUCCCAUUAGCUGCUGGAUGGAGUCUGGCUGGUCUCUGAUGACAGUUUAUGCUAGUCUCCAGUUGCAGAACACUCUGCAGGCAGGUUGAAGGGUUUAUGGCUGGGUUGGUAUACCUGUCCCUCCACUUUAGGCCUUACCUGCUUACAGAAGAUGCCUGGGUCAGGCUCCCUGACCCCAACUACUAGGAGUCUUUGCUAGCAUAACCAUCUCUGGUAUCUCAAGUUCAGAACUCAAGUUCUGAGGGACCUGAGGCCCUCUUUUGGCCUCUUUUGGCCCUCUUUUGGGCAACCAGGCAUGCAUGUGGCACACUAGACAUAUAUGCAGGCAAAAUAUCCAUACACAUAGUUUUUUCUUUUUAAGUGAAAACAAAACCAAAACAAAAUGGCAUAAUCUAAAGAUCUGAAUAGGAGGAAAAGGAAGGAUGAUCUCGGGAAUGGAACCAUGUAUAGACUGGCUUUCACUCCUUACUCGAGCUGCAGCUCCUCUGUACUCAGACUGUACCCGAAGUCUCUAAUAUUCAGUUUUAGGAUGGAAUUCAGCUCGUUAUCAUCUACAACACACGGUGUGGGCAUGCACUCACUAGUUCUUCAAUUAAAUCGUCAUAAAGCUUUGAAUAUAAUAUUCAUCACCUCAUUUCCAGAGACACUAGUAAUUUUCUCAGAAUUAUUAUUGAGGGUUAAAUUUUUUUGAGAUAUAGAAGCAGGUAGUCCAAGCUUGCCUUGAACUCUCUGUGUAUUGGAAACUGACCUUACAUCUUUGAUCUUCCUGCUUUCAUCUCAUGAAUGCUAGGAUUAUAAGCCUGUGAGAACACACCCAGUGUUAUAUUGUACUGGCUUCAUGCAUACUAAGCAAAUACCCCACCUGCCUGAGGUACAUCCCAGCCCCAUUCUAACAUUUUACUCCAACUUCCUUUUUUCAGCAAUAGAAGUAUUUCUUUUUUUUUUUUUUUUUUUUUUUUUGAGCUGGGGACCGAACCCAGGGCCUUGCGCUUGCUAGGCAAGCGCUCUGCCACUGAGCUAAAUCCCCAACCCCCAAAGUAUUUCUUUGGUGUUACUAUCUCACUGUACAAAAGACAAUGUGUGUUCGUGUUUCACAGUAUCUGUUAGAGGACUCCUCCUACCCGUGUGUGUGUGUGUGUGUGUGUGUGUGUGUGUGUGUGUGUGUGUGUGUGUGUGUGUGUAGCUAGGGAGAUCAAUCUUGGAUAUUAUUUCUUAGAUGUUAUCUGCCUUGUUUUUUACAUGAUUUCUUUCUUGACCCCAAACUUGGUGGUUAGACGAGUCUGGUUGUCAGGUGAUCCUGUCUUUGCCUCUUGGUGCUUGGAUUAUAAGAUGUUGCCACCACACCUUGGCUUUAUCACAUGGAUCUUGGGGAAUCGAACUCAGGUCUUAAUGCUUGUACAGCAAACACUUUGAUGAAGUUAUGGCUCCAGUUUCCCCACUUUUUAUUAUUAUGCAUUCUUGCAUUUAAAGGCAGAGUACUUUAUAAAUAAGGUGUUUUUUUAUUUUAUUUUUCUCCCACC
Rattus norvegicus (Norway rat) is the source of this 10771-nucleotide non-coding RNA. The record is from RefSeq and is a predicted model, not a curated record. NCBI's taxonomy places the organism in Eukaryota, Metazoa, Chordata, Mammalia, Rodentia, Muridae.